CAAUAGCGUAUAUUAAUGUUGUUGCAGUUAAAAAGCUCGUAGUUGGAUUUCUGGUGGGAGCGGUUGGUCUGCCCCGCGAGGGGUAGUUACUGAGCCGUAUCCGGCCCUUUUCGGGUUGACCGUGGCUGGCAUUAAUUUGUCGGUGCGGGAGGCCCGUCGUUUACUGUGAACAAAUUAGAGUGUUCAAAGCAGGGUGUUCUUGAAUACAUUAGCAUGGAAUAAUGAGAUAGGACUUUGGUGGUUCUCACUUUAUUGUGGGAUAUUUUGUUGGUUUGCACGCCAAAGUAAUGAUUAAUAGGAGCAGUUGGGGGUAUUCGUAUUCAAUUGUCAGAGGUGAAAUUCUUGGAUUUCUAGAAGACGAACUACUGCGAAAGCAUUUACCAAGGAUGUUUUCAUUAA
RNAcentral lists this ribosomal RNA (399 nucleotides) under uncultured eukaryote. Its description in RNAcentral is "partial 18S ribosomal RNA". It matches the Rfam family "Eukaryotic small subunit ribosomal RNA", at positions 592 to 976 of the family's 1831-position model. The record is from RNAcentral.